ACGUGUCUACUUCUAGUCAGAUGCAUUGAUUAAAACCGAAUUUGUAUCUGACAAGUAGCCAUGUGG
RNAcentral lists this microRNA precursor (66 nucleotides) under Brachionus plicatilis. Its description in RNAcentral is "Bpl-Mir-12595-P1_pre stem-loop". The record is from RNAcentral. Lineage: Eukaryota; Metazoa; Rotifera; Eurotatoria; Ploima; Brachionidae.